RNAcentral lists this small nuclear RNA (101 nucleotides) under Dasypus novemcinctus (nine-banded armadillo). The record is from RNAcentral. Lineage: Eukaryota; Metazoa; Chordata; Mammalia; Cingulata; Dasypodidae.
UUACUUUGAUAGCACAUAUUCUAAAAUUGGAAGGAUACAGAGAAGAUUAAUGUGGCUCCUGAGUAUGGAUGACACAAAUUCAUGAAGUGUUCCAUAUUUUU